AACGAACGCUGGCGGCAGGCUUAACACAUGCAAGUCGAACGCCCUCUUCGGAGGGAGUGGCAGACGGGUGAGUAACACGUGGGAAUCUACCUAUCUCUACGGAACAACACAUAGAAAUGUGUGCUAAUACCGUAUACGCCCUUCGGGGGAAAGAUUUAUCGGAGAUAGAUGAGCCCGCGUUUGAUUAGCUAGUUGGUGAGGUAAUGGCUCACCAAGGCGACGAUCAAUAGCUGGUCUGAGAGGAUGAUCAGCCACACUGGGACUGAGACACGGCCCAG
This 278-nucleotide ribosomal RNA is filed under the name uncultured bacterium. RNAcentral's name for it is "partial 16S ribosomal RNA". It matches the Rfam family "Bacterial small subunit ribosomal RNA", at positions 29 to 334 of the family's 1533-position model. The record is from RNAcentral.